This 63-nucleotide transfer RNA is filed under the name marine eukaryotic metagenome. It matches the Rfam family "tRNA", at positions 7 to 64 of the family's 71-position model. From Rfam's summary of the family: Transfer RNA (tRNA) molecules are approximately 80 nucleotides in length. Their secondary structure includes four short double-helical elements and three loops (D, anti-codon, and T loops). The record is from RNAcentral.
GUAGCUCUAACGGCAGAGCACCGGACUCCAAAUCCGAGGGUUGGGGGUUCGAAUCCCUCCUGG